Guyanagaster necrorhizus is the source of this 109-nucleotide non-coding RNA. The record is from the annotation of a RefSeq genome assembly. NCBI's taxonomy places the organism in Eukaryota, Fungi, Basidiomycota, Agaricomycetes, Agaricales, Physalacriaceae.
GCCUCUUUGGCUCAGUUGGUUAGAGCGCCAGUCUCAUACCUUAGUUAGGUUUGAUCCUUAAACUUAAGGAAUAAUCUGGAGGUCGAAAGUUCGAACCUUUCAAGGGGCA